RNAcentral lists this ribosomal RNA (730 nucleotides) under uncultured bacterium. RNAcentral describes it as "bacterial SSU rRNA". It matches the Rfam family "Bacterial small subunit ribosomal RNA", at positions 99 to 824 of the family's 1533-position model. The record is from RNAcentral.
CGGACGGGUGAGUAAUACUUGGGGAUCUGCCUGAUGGCGGGGGACAACCACUGGAAACGGUGGCUAAUACCGCAUAAUGCCUACCGGCCAAAGUGUGGGACCUUCGGGCCACAUGCCAUCAGAUGAACCCAAGCGAGAUUAGCUAGUUGGUGAGGUAAAGGCUCACCAAGGCGACGAUCUCUAGCUGGUCUGAGAGGAUGAUCAGCCACACUGGGACUGAGACACGGCCCAGACUCCUCCGGGAGGCAGCAGUGGGGAAUAUUGGACAAUGGGCGCAAGCCUGAUCCAGCCAUGCCGCGUGUGUGAAGAAGGCCUUCGGGUUGUAAAGCACUUUCAGUGGUGAGGAAGGCCUUGUCGUUAAUAGCUGCCAGGAUUGACGUUAGCCACAGAAGAAGCACCGGCUAACUCCGUGCCAGCAGCCGCGGUAAUACGGAGGGUGCGAGCGUUAAUCGGAAUUACUGGGCGUAAAGCGCACGUAGGCGGUUUGUUAAGCAAGAUGUGAAAGCCCAGGGCUCAACCUUGGAAUUGCAUUUUGAACUGGCAAGCUAGAGUUUUGAAGAGGGUGGUAGAAUUUCCAGUGUAGCGGUGAAAUGCGUAGAUAUUGGCAAGGAAUACCAGUGGCGAAGGCGGCCACCUGGUCAAAAACUGACGCUGAGGAGCGAAAGCGUGGGGAGCAAACAGGAUUAGAUACCCUGGUAGUCCACGCCGUAAACGAUGUCAACUAGUUGUU